AGAGCUCAGAGUAGGCGA
Molecule: small nuclear RNA, 18 nt
Filed under: Arabidopsis thaliana (thale cress)
Lineage: Eukaryota; Viridiplantae; Streptophyta; Magnoliopsida; Brassicales; Brassicaceae
Description: snRNA_04491
Source: RNAcentral